CCUACGGGUGGCUGCAGUCGAGAAUCAUUCACAAUGGGGGAAACCCUGAUGGUGCGACGCCGCGUGGGGGAAUGAAGGUCUUCGGAUUGUAAACCCCUGUCAUGUGGGAGCAAAUUAAAAAGAUAGUACCACAAGAGGAAGAGACGGCUAACUCUGUGCCAGCAGCCGCGGUAAUACAGAGGUCUCAAGCGUUGUUCGGAAUCACUGGGCGUAAAGCGUGCGUAGGCUGUUUCGUAAGUCGUGUGUGAAAGGCGCGGGCUCAACCCGCGGACGGCACAUGAUACUGCGAGACGAGAGUAAGGGAGGGGGAACCGGAAUUCUCGGUGUAGCAGUGAAAUGCGUAGAUAUCGAGAGGAACACUCGUGGCGAAGGCGGGUUCCUGGACAUUAACUGACGCUGAGGCACGAAGGCCAGGGGAGCGAAAGGGAUUAGAUACCCGUGUAGUC
This 446-nucleotide ribosomal RNA is filed under the name uncultured bacterium. RNAcentral's name for it is "partial 16S ribosomal RNA". It matches the Rfam family "Bacterial small subunit ribosomal RNA", at positions 338 to 795 of the family's 1533-position model. The record is from RNAcentral.